Molecule: ribosomal RNA, 786 nt
Filed under: Flavobacterium collinsii
Lineage: Bacteria; Pseudomonadati; Bacteroidota; Flavobacteriia; Flavobacteriales; Flavobacteriaceae
Description: bacterial SSU rRNA
Rfam family: Bacterial small subunit ribosomal RNA
Source: RNAcentral
GGUUCUUCGGAACCAGAGACCGGCGCACGGGUGCGUAACGCGUAUGCAAUCUACCUUUUACAGAGGGAUAGCCCAGAGAAAUUUGGAUUAAUACCUCAUAGUAUAGCUGAACCGCAUGGUUCUACUAUUAAAGUCACAACGGUAAAAGAUGAGCAUGCGUCCCAUUAGCUAGUUGGUAAGGUAACGGCUUACCAAGGCUACGAUGGGUAGGGGUCCUGAGAGGGAGAUCCCCCACACUGGUACUGAGACACGGACCAGACUCCUACGGGAGGCAGCAGUGAGGAAUAUUGGACAAUGGGCGCAAGCCUGAUCCAGCCAUGCCGCGUGCAGGAUGACGGUCCUAUGGAUUGUAAACUGCUUUUAUACGAGAAGAAACACUCCUUCGUGAAGGAGCUUGACGGUAUCGUAAGAAUAAGGAUCGGCUAACUCCGUGCCAGCAGCCGCGGUAAUACGGAGGAUCCAAGCGUUAUCCGGAAUCAUUGGGUUUAAAGGGUCCGUAGGCGGUUUAGUAAGUCAGUGGUGAAAGCCCAUCGCUCAACGGUGGAACGGCCAUUGAUACUGCUAAACUUGAAUUAUUAGGAAGUAACUAGAAUAUGUAGUGUAGCGGUGAAAUGCUUAGAGAUUACAUGGAAUACCAAUUGCGAAGGCAGGUUACUACUAAUGGAUUGACGCUGAUGGACGAAAGCGUGGGUAGCGAACAGGAUUAGAUACCCUGGUAGUCCACGCCGUAAACGAUGGAUACUAGCUGUUGGAAGCAAUUUCAGUGGCUAAGCGAAAGUGAUAAGU